UACGUAGGGGGCAAGCGUUGUCCGGAUUUAUUGGGCGUAAAGAGCGUGUAGGCGGCUAGAUAGGUCCGUUGUGAAAACUCGAGGCUCAACCUCGAGACGUCGAUGGAAACCAUCUGGCUAGAGUCCGGAAGAGGAGAGUGGAAUUCCUGGUGUAGCGGUGAAAUGCGUAGAUAUCGGGAGGAACACCUGUGGCGAAAGCGGCGCACUGGACCACAACUGACGCUGAGGCGCGAAAGCUAGGGGAGCAAACAGG
Molecule: ribosomal RNA, 253 nt
Filed under: uncultured bacterium
Lineage: Bacteria
Description: partial 16S ribosomal RNA
Rfam family: Bacterial small subunit ribosomal RNA
Source: RNAcentral